AUGGCCACCGCUGAUGUCCAGAACCCGACGGCCGCGCUGACGGAGGAGGCGCCCGCGGUGGAGACGCCGGUGGCCGCCGAGGAGGCCCCGAAGACGGAGGAGGUCCCCGCGCCGGCGGAGGCCGAGGUCGAGGCGUCUGCCCCCGUCGAGGUUGAGGCGACCAAGGAGGAGGCGCCGGGCGCCGCUGAGACGGAGGAGGCCAAGGAGACCGAGCCAGCAGCUGCGGCCGAGCCGGAGGCCGAGGCGCCCAAAGAGCCAGAGGCGCCAGCCGUGGUCGAGACAGAGACCAAGGAGGCCGUGGCAGAGGCCGAGCCGGCGGUGGUCGAGGAGGUGAAGGAGGAGGCCGCGCCUGCUGCCGAGCCAGAAGCACCGGCCGUCGCCGAGGAAGCACCGGCUGCAGCGGAGGAGGCCCCCGCGGCCGUGGCAGAGGAGCCGGCCGCCGCGGUGGCCAGCGUCAGCGUGUGA
This 465-nucleotide ribosomal RNA is filed under the name Triticum aestivum (bread wheat). RNAcentral describes it as "partial small subunit ribosomal RNA". Lineage: Eukaryota; Viridiplantae; Streptophyta; Magnoliopsida; Poales; Poaceae. The record is from RNAcentral.